Molecule: non-coding RNA, 90 nt
Organism: Abortiporus biennis
Lineage: Eukaryota; Fungi; Basidiomycota; Agaricomycetes; Polyporales; Podoscyphaceae
Source: the annotation of a GenBank genome assembly
GGGCACAUGGUGUAGUUGGUUAUCACAUCUGCUUAGCAAAUCAAGCUACAAUCCUGCAGGGGGUGCUGGGUUCAAUUCCCAGUGUGUCCA